RNAcentral lists this ribosomal RNA (374 nucleotides) under uncultured eukaryote. RNAcentral's name for it is "partial 18S ribosomal RNA". It matches the Rfam family "Eukaryotic small subunit ribosomal RNA", at positions 592 to 976 of the family's 1831-position model. The record is from RNAcentral.
UAAUAGUGUAUAUUAAAGUUGUUGCAGUUAAAAAGCUCGUAGUUGAAUGUUGGUGUCGAACGAGCGGUCAGCUUCGGCUGUACUGCUCUCUCGACUCCUUCCUUCUGUGGACUACGUCGCACUUUACUGUGUGGCGCUAGGACGCAGAUCGUUUACUGUGAAAAAAUUAGAGUGUUCAAAGCAGGCCGUACGCUUGAAUACAUUAGCAUGGAAUAAUGGAAUAGGACGUCGGGCCUAUUUUGUUGGUUCUAGGACCGUCGUAAUGGUUAAUAGGGACAGUUGGGGCCGUUUAUAUUCCGUAGUCAGAGGUGAAAUUCUUGGAUUUACGGAAGAUAAACUACUGCGAAAGCAUUCGGCAAGGAUGUUUUCGUUAA